CCCGAGCCAACAUGGGCCAAGCACAAGAGGAACUGAAACUCACACGCGAGAAACGGAAAAAUUCUGCCCGACAGGUAUUGUGCAUGUGGCGGACAUCCACUCCUACAUCAGGAUCAAGGCCAUGCAGUCUUCUGUUUAACUGGGUGAUACAGAGCCAAGUUCAGAGCCAAAGAUAGUAAGCAGAAAAGCAAGCAUACAAAACCAUGGACAAUAAGACCUCAAGCUGUUACAAAAAACAAGUAGCACCAUUAAGGGUACAUUCAAGUCUUCCAAACCCAGAAGUUGGCCAUGAAUACAGCCCCAGUUCUGGCAUUCCUAAAGAUGUAAGUCAAGAAAAGAGAAAUAUUG
Lingula anatina is the source of this 348-nucleotide long non-coding RNA. The record is from RefSeq and is a predicted model, not a curated record. Lineage: Eukaryota; Metazoa; Brachiopoda; Lingulata; Lingulida; Lingulidae.